Molecule: ribosomal RNA, 344 nt
Filed under: Salmonella enterica
Lineage: Bacteria; Pseudomonadati; Pseudomonadota; Gammaproteobacteria; Enterobacterales; Enterobacteriaceae
Also listed under: 1 other name
Description: bacterial SSU rRNA
Rfam family: Bacterial small subunit ribosomal RNA
Source: RNAcentral
CAGUGAUAAACUGGAGGAAGGUGGGGAUGACGUCAAGUCAUCAUGGCCCUUACGACCAGGGCUACACACGUGCUACAAUGGCGCAUACAAAGAGAAGCGACCUCGCGAGAGCAAGCGGACCUCAUAAAGUGCGUCGUAGUCCGGAUUGGAGUCUGCAACUCGACUCCAUGAAGUCGGAAUCGCUAGUAAUCGUGGAUCAGAAUGCCACGGUGAAUACGUUCCCGGGCCUUGUACACACCGCCCGUCACACCAUGGGAGUGGGUUGCAAAAGAAGUAGGUAGCUUAACCUUCGGGAGGGCGCUUACCACUUUGUGAUUCAUGACUGGGGUGAAGUCGUAACAAGG